AUUGAACGCUGGCGGCAGGCCUAACACAUGCAAGUCGAACGGUAACAGGAAGAAGCUUGCUUCUUUGCUGACGAGUGGCGGACGGGUGAGUAAUGUCUGGGAAACUGCCAGAUGGAGGGGGAUAACUACUGGAAACGGUAGCUAAUACCGCAUAAUGUCGCAAGACCAAAGAGGGGGACCUUCGGGCCUCUUGCCAUCGGAUGUGCCCAGAUGGGAUUAGCUAGUAGGUGGGGUAACGGCUCACCUAGGCGACGAUCCCUAGCUGGUCUGAGAGGAUGACCAGCCACACUGGAACUGAGACACGGUCCAGACUCCUACGGGAGGCAGCAGUGGGGAAUAUUGCACAAUGGGCGCAAGCCUGAUGCAGCUAUGCCGCGUGUAUGAAGAAGGCCUUCGGGUUGUAAAGUACUUUCAGCGGGGAGGAAGGGAGUAAAGUUAAUACCUUUGCUCAUUGACGUUACCCGCAGAAGAAGCACCGGCUAACUCCGUG
This 490-nucleotide ribosomal RNA is filed under the name uncultured bacterium. Its description in RNAcentral is "partial 16S ribosomal RNA". It matches the Rfam family "Bacterial small subunit ribosomal RNA", at positions 30 to 507 of the family's 1533-position model. The record is from RNAcentral.